This 252-nucleotide ribosomal RNA is filed under the name uncultured bacterium. RNAcentral describes it as "partial 16S ribosomal RNA". It matches the Rfam family "Bacterial small subunit ribosomal RNA", at positions 524 to 776 of the family's 1533-position model. The record is from RNAcentral.
UACGGAGGAUGCGAGCGUUAUCCGGAUUUAUUGGGUUUAAAGGGUGCGUAGGCGGGAUGCCAAGUCAGCGGUAAAAAUGCGGUGCUCAACGCCGUCGAGCCGUUGAAACUGGCGUUCUUGAGUGGGCGAGAAGUAUGCGGAAUGCGUGGUGUAGCGGUGAAAUGCAUAGAUAUCACGCAGAACUCCGAUUGCGAAGGCAGCAUACCGGCGCCCUACUGACGCUGAGGCACGAAAGCGUGGGUAGCGAACAGG